This 429-nucleotide ribosomal RNA is filed under the name Bacteroidota bacterium. RNAcentral describes it as "Bacteroidetes bacterium partial 16S ribosomal RNA". It matches the Rfam family "Bacterial small subunit ribosomal RNA", at positions 355 to 776 of the family's 1533-position model. Lineage: Bacteria; Pseudomonadati; Bacteroidota. The record is from RNAcentral.
UAGGGAAUCUUCGGCAAUGGGGGGAACCCUGACCGAGCAACGCCGCGUGAGUGAAGAAGGUUUUCGGAUCGUAAAGCUCUGUUGUUAAGGAAGAACGAGUGUGAGAAUGGAAAGUUCAUGCUGUGACGGUACUUAACCAGAAAGGGACGGCUAACUACGUGCCAGCAGCCGCGGUAAUACGUAGGUCCCGAGCGUUGUCCGGAUUUAUUGGGCGUAAAGCGAGCGCAGGCGGUUAGAUAAGUCUGAAGUUAAAGGCAGUGGCUCAACCAUUGUAGGCUUUGGAAACUGUUUAACUUGAGUGCAGAAGAGGAGAGUGGAAUUCCAUGUGUAGCGGUGAAAUGCGUAGAUAUAUGGAGGAACACCAGUGGCGAAGGCGACUCUCUGGUCUGUAACUGACGCUGAGGCUCGAAAGCGUGGGUAGCAAACAGG